GAUGAAGAACGCAGCGAAAUGCGAUAAGUAAUGUGAAUUGCAGAAUUCAGUGAAUCAUCGAAUCUUUGAACGCACAUUGCGCCCCUUGGUAUUCCGAGGGGCAUGCCUGUUCGAGCGUCAUUAUAACCCUCAAGCUCAGCUUGGUGUUGGGGCCUGCUGCGCUGGCAGCCCUUAAAAUCAGUGGCGGCGCCAUCUGGCUCUAAGCGUAGUAAUUCUUCUCGCUAUGGAGUCCUGGUGGAUGCUUGCCAUCAACCCCCAAUUUUUCUAUGGUUGACCUCGGAUCAGGUAGGGAUACCCGCUGAACUUAAGCAUAUCAAUAAGCGGAGGA
Molecule: unclassified non-coding RNA, 328 nt
Filed under: soil metagenome
Description: partial contains 5.8S ribosomal RNA, internal transcribed spacer 2, and large subunit ribosomal RNA
Rfam family: 5.8S ribosomal RNA (bases 1-120)
Source: RNAcentral